Molecule: ribosomal RNA, 485 nt
Filed under: uncultured bacterium
Lineage: Bacteria
Description: partial 16S ribosomal RNA
Rfam family: Bacterial small subunit ribosomal RNA
Source: RNAcentral
AUUGAACGCUGGCGGCAUGCCUAACACAUGCAAGUCGAACGGCAGCACGGGGGCUUGCACCUGGUGGCGAGUGGCGAACGGGUGAGUAAUACAUGGGAACAAUUCCCGUAGUGGGGAGAGAUAGGCGAAAGCCAGGUUGAUUACUACCGGGAACGACGCGGGAAAGCAUGGGACCCGCGUGGAAAGAGCUUCGGGGCUGGCCGAGCGCGGGUUAGCUAGGUGGGGGGGUAAAGGCCUACCAAGGCGACGAUCAGAAGAUGGGCUGGGAGGAGGACCAGCCACACUGGAACUGAGACAGGGCCACGACUACUACGGGAGGCAGCAGUGGGGAACUUUAGACAAUGGGCGAAAGCAUGACACAGCAAUGCCGAGUGUGUGAAGAAGGCCUUGGGGUUGUAAAGCACUCUUGUCCGGAAAGAACUCCUUGGCCCUAAUACGGUCGGAGGAUGACGGUACCGGAAGAAUAAGCACCGGCUAACUACGUG